GGGAUUGUAGUGAAAUCGGUCAGAGCACCGCCCUGUCAAGGCGGAAGCUGCGGGUUCGAGCCCCGUCAGUCCCG
RNAcentral lists this transfer RNA (74 nucleotides) under Hygrochilus parishii. RNAcentral describes it as "tRNA-Asp". It matches the Rfam family "tRNA". From Rfam's summary of the family: Transfer RNA (tRNA) molecules are approximately 80 nucleotides in length. Their secondary structure includes four short double-helical elements and three loops (D, anti-codon, and T loops). Further hydrogen bonds mediate the characteristic L-shaped molecular structure. tRNAs have two regions of fundamental functional importance: the anti-codon, which is responsible for specific mRNA codon recognition, and the 3' end, to which the tRNAs corresponding amino acid is attached (by aminoacyl-tRNA synthetases). tRNAs cope with the degeneracy of the genetic code in two manners: having more than one tRNA (with a specific anti-codon) for a particular amino acid; and 'wobble' base-pairing, i.e. permitting non-standard base-pairing at the 3rd anti-codon position. Lineage: Eukaryota; Viridiplantae; Streptophyta; Magnoliopsida; Asparagales; Orchidaceae. The record is from RNAcentral.